RNAcentral lists this ribosomal RNA (435 nucleotides) under uncultured bacterium. Its description in RNAcentral is "partial 16S ribosomal RNA". It matches the Rfam family "Bacterial small subunit ribosomal RNA", at positions 29 to 507 of the family's 1533-position model. The record is from RNAcentral.
AACGAACGCUGGCGGCAGGCUUAACACAUGCAAGUCGAACGCGUGCAGCAAUGCACGAGUGGCGCACGGGUGCGUAACGAGUGGAUAUCUGCCUUUGGGUUCGGAAUAACCCCGGGAAACUGGGGCUAAUACCGGAUGGUUCCUACGGGAUAAAGAUUUAUCGCCAAAAGAUGAGUCCGCGUCCGAUUAGCUAGUUGGUGAGGUAAUGGCUCACCAAGGCGACGAUCGGUAGCUGGUCUGAGAGGACGAUCAGCCACACUGGGACUGAGACACGGCCCAGACUCCUACGGGAGGCAGCAGUGGGGAAUAUUGGACGAUGGGGGCAACCCUGAUCCAGCCAUGCCGCGUGAGUGAUGAAGGCCUUCGGGUUGUAAAGCUCUUUUGGCGGGGACGAUGAUGACGGUACCCGCAGAAUAAGCCCCGGCUAACUUCGUG